GGUGUGGCUGCUUUGAGUGAGAGGACGGUGCCAUUGCAGGCAAGACUCUACCACUGCGACAACGUUGGUUUGGUAAUGUAACCAUGGCGUAACCCCAGAUUCUCAGCAUUUAGGUGUAGUCGUCACUAUUUCAGUGUUUCUCCAGUUCACAAAAGUUAAUUGUGGCAUAUUGGUCACUUACAAAGUCUUAUUCAGCAUUUUGUUUAACUAAAAGACCCUUUAAGGAGUUGGAUUUCCAGUUUUUCCGAGCAGCCAAAGUGGAUACUUACCCUGCCGAGUCUCAUCAGAGUCAAGACACAGACAGAGGGAGAAGAAGAAACGGGAGACCACAAGGAGAGUCAAGUUCCUUCCCACAGCAGGCCUCUCGGGUCAGAGGCCUCUUGCAUGCCGGCUGUGGGAACCACAACACGCAUGCAUUACACGCACACGCAGCUGAGAACAUGGCUGAAUGUUUAGGACGCCACAUGUCCAUAAAAGGUGUCAUGGUCCAGUUUCCAGCCUGGAUCGCAGCUGUCCUUAGUGAGUCCGUUUCGACAGACACAUUCACAGGUGGACUCUUCUAAAACCCUGUUGGGCCCACAAAGAGCCAGCAGCCCCGAGUCCAGCGCCUCUGGAAGCCACAAAAAGACAGACAGGGCAAAAGCAGUUACCGGCAACUGUAAAAUAAAUCAUGGAGACGGACAGACACACUGAAGGAGAAGAAGAAGGAGAAGAGGAGACACCGGUUAGUUAAAGAGAGGCUGCCAACGACUGGGAGGGAGAAAGAGGUCACAUGAGAACAUUAGGACAACUUACCAAAGAAAUAAGGUAAGCUAUCUUUAAAUCUUUAAAUGUGGUUCUGUAUUUAUUUAUUUAAUUACA
This is a long non-coding RNA of Thunnus maccoyii (southern bluefin tuna), 861 nucleotides long. RefSeq lists it as uncharacterized. The record is from RefSeq and is a predicted model, not a curated record. The transcript has 7 exons. NCBI's taxonomy places the organism in Eukaryota, Metazoa, Chordata, Actinopteri, Scombriformes, Scombridae.